AGAGUUUGAUCCUGGCUCAGGACGAACGCUGGCGGCGUGCCUAAUACAUGCAAGUCGAACGCUUCUUUUCUACCGAGUGCUUGCACUCACUUGAAAAGAGGAGUGGCGGACGGGUGAGUAACACGUGGGUAACCUACCCAUCAGAGGGGGAUAACACUUGGAAACAGGUGCUAAUACCGCAUAAUAGUCGACAUCGCAUGGUGUUGAUUUGAAAGACGCUUUCGGGUGUCACUGAUGGAUGGACCCGCGGUGCAUUAGCUAGUUGGUGAGGUAACGGCUCACCAAGGCCAUGAUGCAUAGCCGACCUGAGAGGGUGAUCGGCCACACUGGGACUGAGACACGGCCCAGACUCCUACGGGAGGCAGCAGUAGGGAAUCUUCGGCAAUGGACGAAAGUCUCACCGAGCAACGCCGCGUGAGUGAAGAAGGUUUUCGGAUCGUAAAACUCUGUCGUUAGAGAGGAACAAGUAGGAGAGUAACUGCUCUUACCUUGACGGUAUCUAACCAGAAAGCCACGGCUAACUACGUGCCAGCAGCCGCGGUAAUACGUAGGUGGCAAGCGUUGUCCGGAUUUAUUGGGCGUAAAGCGAGCGCAGGCGGUUUCUUAAGUCUGAUGUGAAAGCCCCCGGCUCAACCGGGGAGGGUCAUUGGAAACUGGGAGACUUGAGUGCAGAAGAGGAGAGUGGAAUUUCCAUGUGUAGCGGUGAAAUGCGUAGAUAUAUGGAGGAACACCAGUGGCGAAGGCGACUCUCUGGUCUGUAACUGACGCUG
This 770-nucleotide ribosomal RNA is filed under the name uncultured bacterium. RNAcentral's name for it is "bacterial SSU rRNA". It matches the Rfam family "Bacterial small subunit ribosomal RNA", at positions 8 to 748 of the family's 1533-position model. The record is from RNAcentral.